RNAcentral lists this ribosomal RNA (406 nucleotides) under uncultured bacterium. Its description in RNAcentral is "partial 16S ribosomal RNA". It matches the Rfam family "Bacterial small subunit ribosomal RNA", at positions 30 to 526 of the family's 1533-position model. The record is from RNAcentral.
AUUGAACGCUGGCGGCAGGCCUAACACAUGAAAGUCGAACGAGUGGCGGCAGGGUGAGUAAUGUCUGGGAAACUGCCCGAUGGCGGGGGAUAACUACUGGAAACGGUAGCUAAUACCGCAUACAAUCGGAUGUGCCCAGAUGGGAUUAGCUAGUGGGUGGGGUAACGGCUAACCUAGGCGACGCUCCCUAGCUGGUGUGAGAGGAUGACCAGCCACACUGGAACUGAGACACGGUCCAGACUCCUACGGGAGGCAGCAGUGGGGAAUAUUGCACAAUGGGCGCAAGCCUGAUGCAGCCAUGCCGCGUGUAUGAAGAAGGCCUUCGGGUUGUAAAGUACUUUCAGCGAGGAGGCGUUACUCGCAGAAGAAGCACCGGCUAACUCCGUGCCAGCCGCCGCGGUAAUUC